UCAAGCGCAAAAGGGCAUUUAGUGGAUGUCUUGGCAUUAAGAGACGAUGAAGGACGUGGCAGGCUGCGAUAAGCUAAGGGGAGUUGUCAACAAACUUUGAUCCUUAGAUAUCCGAAUGGGGAAACCCAACUCUUUAGAGUUAUUUAUUAAUGAAUACAUAGUUAAUAAAAGUUAACCUAGUGAAUUGAAAUAUCUUAGUAGCUAGAGGAAAAGAAAUCUAUUCCGUUAGUAGUGACGAGCGAACGCGGACCAGGCCAGUAACAAAUUUAUAAUAACUAGAACUUUCUGGAAAGUAAGACCAUAGUGGGUGAUAGUCCCUUAUAGGUAAAAAGUAAAUUUGUUCUCGAGUAGGGCGGAACACGUGAAAUUUUGUCUGAAAAUGGGGAGACCACUUCCCAAGCCUAAAUACUCCUUAAUGACCGAUAGUGAACCAGUACCGUGAGGGAAAGAUGAAAAGCACCCCGAUAGGGGGAAUGAAAUAGUAUCUGAAACCGAAUGCCUACAAGCAGUCAGAGCUUCCUUGAGAAGUGAUGGCAUACCUUUUGUAUAAUGGGUCAGCGACUUAGUCUGUGCAGCAAGCUUAAGCCGUAAGGUGUAGGCGUAGGGAAACCAAGUCUUAAUAGGGCGUUAGUUGUACGGAUUAGACUCGAAGCGGGAUGAGCUUAAUAUGAGCAGGUUGAAGAUGCAGUAACAUGCAUCGGAGGACCGAACCAGGAAACGUUGAAAUGUUUUUGGAUGACUUGUGUUAAGGGGUGAAAGGCCAACCAAAUUCCGCUAUAGCUAGUUCUCCGCGAAAACUAUUUAGGUAGUGCGUUGUGUGAAUGAUAUCGGGGGUAAAGCACUGGAUGGGCUAGGGGGAAGCGAUUCCUACCAAACCUAACCAAACUCUGAAUACCGAUACUCUAUGCACAGCAGACAGACUAUAGGUGCUAAGGUCUAUAGUCGAGAGGGAAACAGCCCAGAUCACCAGUUAAGGCCCCCAAAUAAUGGCUAAGUGGGAAAGUAUGUAGAAAGUCCAAGACAGGCAGGAGGUUGGCUUAGAAGCAGCCAUCCUUUAAAGAUAGCGUAACAGCUCACUGUUCUAAUUAAGACUUUCCGCGACGAAGAUGUAACGGGGCUCAAGCCAUUUGCCGAAACUGUGACUUUAUAAAUAUUGCGAUAUUUAUAAGGGGUAGCGGAGCGUUCUGUAAGCCGUUGAAGGUGUUUUGAAAGAAAUGCUGGAGGUAUCAGAAGUGCGAAUGCUGACAUGAGUAGCGAUAAAGAGUGUGAGAGACACUCUCGCCGAAAUCCUAAGGUUUCCUGCGUAAAGCUAAUCUGCGCAGGGUUAGUCGACCCCUAAGGCGAGGCAGAAAUGCGUAGUCGAUGGGAAACAGGUUAAUAUUCCUGUACCUUCUGUGAGUUGACGGAUCACGUAAAUAGUACUUUCUUAUUGGAUUGAGAGUGCUGUGAAGUGGUUCCUGGAAAUAGCCACAGAGUAUAGAUCGUACCAAAACCGACACAGGUAGGAAGGUAGAGUAUACCAAGGCGCUUGAGAGAAUGAUGUUGAAGGAACUCGGCAAAAUGCCCUUGUAACUUCGGAAUAAGAGGGACCAAUUUUUAGGCAACUAAGAAUUGGUGGCACAGAAUAGGGAGAAGCGACUGUUUAUCAAAAACACAGGUCUCUGCUAAGUCGUAAGACGAUGUAUAGGGACUGACGCCUGCCCGGUGCCGGAAGGUUAAAUGGUGGAGUGCAAGCUCUAAAAUGAAGCCCCGGUGAACGGCGGCCGUAACUAUAACGGUCCUAAGGUAGCGAAAUUCCUUGUCAGGUAAGUUCUGACCCGCAUGAAUGGCGUAACGAUUUCUCCGCUGUCUCCAACAUCAACUCAGCGAAAUUGAAUUCUCCGUGAAGAUGCGGAGUACGUGUAGUUAGACGGAAAGACCCCGUGCACCUUUACUAUAGCUUUACAGUGGUAUUAGGAAAAUAAUGUGUAGGCUAGGUGGUAGACUUUGAAGCAGAAGCGCUAGCUUUUGUGGAGUCAAAAGAUGAAACACCACCCUUUAUUUUUUUGAUAUCUAACCAUCAUCCAUUAUCUGGAUGUGGGACCCUGUAUGGUGGGUAGUUUGACUGGGGCGGUCGCCUCCUAAAGAGUAAC
This 2132-nucleotide ribosomal RNA is filed under the name marine metagenome. RNAcentral's name for it is "bacterial LSU rRNA". It matches the Rfam family "Bacterial large subunit ribosomal RNA", at positions 1 to 2301 of the family's 2925-position model. The record is from RNAcentral.